This 654-nucleotide ribosomal RNA is filed under the name uncultured bacterium. RNAcentral's name for it is "SSU rRNA". It matches the Rfam family "Bacterial small subunit ribosomal RNA", at positions 245 to 915 of the family's 1533-position model. The record is from RNAcentral.
CUAGUUGGUGAGGUAAGAGCUUACCAAGGCGUCGAUCGGUAGCUGGUCUGAGAGGACGAUCAGCCACACUGGGAUUGAGAACGGCCCAGACUCCUACGGGGGGCAGCAGUGAGGAAUUUUCCGCAAUGGGGGCAACCCUGACGGAGCAACGCCGCGUGCAGGAGGACGCUUUUCGGAGUGUAAACUGCUUUUCUGUGGGAAGAGCAAGGACGGUACCACAGGAAGAAGCCCCGGCUAACUACGUGCCAGCAGCCGCGGUAAUACGUAGGGGGCGAGCGUUGUCCGGAGUUACUGGGCGUAAAGGGCAUGCAGGCGGUCGUACGCGUUUCGGGUGACAGCGGGUGGCUUAACUACCCGAGUGUUCGAAAGACGGUACGACUUGAGGGCUCGAGAGGGACACGGAAUUCCGGGUGGAGUGGUGAAAUGCGUAGAGAUCCGGAGGAACACCGAAGGCGAAGGCAGUGUCCUGGCGAGUGACUGACGCUGAGGUGCGAAAGCUAGGGGAGCGAACGGGAUUAGAUACCCCGGUAGUCCUAGCCGUAAACGAUGACCACCAGGUGUGGGAGGUAUCGACCCCUUCCGUGCCGGAGUUAACACACUAAGUGGUCCGCCUGGGGAGUACGGUCGCAAGAUUAAAACUCAAAGGAAUUGACG